This is a non-coding RNA of Globicatella sp. HMSC072A10, 92 nucleotides long. Lineage: Bacteria; Bacillati; Bacillota; Bacilli; Lactobacillales; Aerococcaceae. The record is from Rfam.
AACAGAGUAGAGAAAUUGCGUUAAGUGCUAACAGAUGGAAUGUUGCUGAUAGACGAAGAGUAUACUCGCGGUAAUUUCUCGCAUUCGCUGCU